RNAcentral lists this ribosomal RNA (272 nucleotides) under uncultured prokaryote. RNAcentral describes it as "partial 16S ribosomal RNA". It matches the Rfam family "Bacterial small subunit ribosomal RNA", at positions 524 to 796 of the family's 1533-position model. The record is from RNAcentral.
UACAGAGGGGGCAAGCGUUGUUCGGAAUUACUGGGCGUAAAGGGCGCGUAGGCGGCCUGCUAAGUCGAACGUGAAAUCCCUGGGCUCAACCCAGGAACUGCGUCCGAUACUGGUUGGCUUGAAUCCGGGAGAGGGAUGUGGAAUUCCAGGUGUAGCGGUGAAAUGCGUAGAUAUCUGGAGGAACACCGGUGGCGAAGGCGACAUCCUGGACCGGUAUUGACGCUGAGGCGCGAAAGCCAGGGGAGCAAACGGGAUUAGAAACCCGGUAGUCC